Cercocebus atys (sooty mangabey) is the source of this 104-nucleotide small nuclear RNA. NCBI's taxonomy places the organism in Eukaryota, Metazoa, Chordata, Mammalia, Primates, Cercopithecidae. The record is from Ensembl.
GUGCUUGCUUUAGCAGCACAUAUACUAAAACUGAAAUGAUACAGAGAAGAGUCACAUGGCCCCUGCUCAAGGAUGAUAUGCAAAUUCGUGAAGUCCAUAUUUUU